GAUGAACGCUGGCGGCGUGCUUAACACAUGCAAGUCGAACGGGAUCCAUCAGGCUUUGCUUGGUGGUGAGAGUGGCGAACGGGUGAGUAAUGCGUGACCGACCUGCCCCAUACACCGGAAUAGCUCCUGGAAACGGGUGGUAAUGCCGGAUGCUCCGACUCCUCGCAUGGGGUGUCGGGAAAGAUUUCAUCGGUAUGGGAUGGGGUCGCGUCCUAUCAGGUAGUCGGCGGGGUAACGGCCCACCGAGCCUACGACGGGUAGCCGGCCUGAGAGGGCGACCGGCCACAUUGGGACUGAGAUACGGCCCAGACUCCUACGGGAGGCAGCAGUGGGGAAUAUUGCACAAUGGGCGCAAGCCUGAUGCAGCGACGCCGCGUGCGGGAUGACGGCCUUCGGGUUGUAAACCGCUUUUAAUCGGGAGCAAGCCUUCGGGUGAG
RNAcentral lists this ribosomal RNA (437 nucleotides) under uncultured bacterium. RNAcentral describes it as "bacterial SSU rRNA". It matches the Rfam family "Bacterial small subunit ribosomal RNA", at positions 28 to 462 of the family's 1533-position model. The record is from RNAcentral.